This 765-nucleotide long non-coding RNA is filed under the name Brassica rapa (field mustard). Its description in RNAcentral is "long non-coding RNA (BRAP_LNC004766)". Lineage: Eukaryota; Viridiplantae; Streptophyta; Magnoliopsida; Brassicales; Brassicaceae. The record is from RNAcentral.
UUCCUACCCAAACUGUUUUCUCUCGGGUUGAAUUUAUUAUUGACUUUUGUCUUGAUGGUUUGAUUUUAGGCGUACUGUGGUGAGCAUUCCCAACGGUCCGUCUGCUCUCGCUGUGAAAGAAGCUGCUUGGGGCCUUGCUCGAUACGCUGCCAUUUCACAAGUAAACACACACGUUGCUUCUCCGUCAAGAAACCGGUUAAAUCGGAUUCUUUUAUGAUAUUUCUCACGCUAAAUUGUGAUGUUUCAGGACAGUGGAUUGGUUCCCAUAGUGGAGCCAGAGAUCUUGUUGGAUGGAGAACACGACAUUGACAGGACUUACGAAGUAGCUGAGAAGGUGUGGGCUGAGGUUUUCUUUUACCUAGCUCAGAACAAUGUCAUGUUUGAAGGUAUCCUCCUGAAGCCGAGCAUGGUGACUCCAGGAGCCGAGUCUAAAGACAGAGCUACUCCUGAACAAGUUGCCUCCUACACCCUUAAGCUCCUCCGCAACAGAAUCCCUCCUGCCGUCCCUGGAAUCAUGGCAAGCUUUAAAUGAGUUUUUUAUUACAAAAAAUGAGGAAAACCUAGAUCUUGGUUGCUUGAGGUGAAAGUUAAGUUUUUUUUGUGUUUUUUUUUCUGCAGUUCUUGUCCGGAGGACAGUCUGAGUUGGAGGCAACGUUGAACCUGAACGCGAUGAACCAGGCACCAAACCCGUGGCACGUGUCCUUCUCCUACGCACGUGCUCUUCAGAACACUUGCCUGAAAACAUGGGGAGGCAGAGCUGAGAAC